Molecule: non-coding RNA, 24 nt
Filed under: Cricetulus griseus (Chinese hamster)
Lineage: Eukaryota; Metazoa; Chordata; Mammalia; Rodentia; Cricetidae
Source: RNAcentral
GUUGGGAUCAUGGCGGAGAAUCAC